CAACAGGGAUUGCCUCAGUAACGGCGAGUGAAGCGGCAAAAGCUCAAAUUUGAAAUCUGGCACCUUCGGUGUCCGAGUUGUAAUUUGAAGAAGGUAACUUUGGAGUUGGCUCUUGUCUAUGUUCCUUGGAACAGGACGUCACAGAGGGUGAGAAUCCCGUGCGAUGAGAUGUCCAACUCUAUGUAAAGUGCUUUCGAAGAGUCGAGUUGUUUGGGAAUGCAGCUCUAAGUGGGUGGUAAAUUCCAUCUAAAGCUAAAUAUUGGCGAGAGACCGAUAGCGAACAAGUACAGUGAUGGAAAGAUGAAAAGAACUUUGAAAAGAGAGUGAAAAAGUACGUGAAAUUGUUGAAAGGGAAGGGCUUGAGAUCAGACUUGGUAUUUUGCAAGCCUUACCUUCGUGGUGGGGUCCCCUGCAGUUUACUGGGCCAGCAUCGGUUUGGAUGGUAGGAUAAUGACUUGGGAAUGUGGCUUUGCUUCGGUAAAGUGUUAUAGCCCUUGUUGAUACUACCUGUCUAGACCGAGGACUGCGUCUUUGACUAGGAUGCUGGCAUAAUGA
RNAcentral lists this ribosomal RNA (555 nucleotides) under Schwanniomyces pseudopolymorphus. RNAcentral's name for it is "eukaryotic LSU rRNA". It matches the Rfam family "Eukaryotic large subunit ribosomal RNA", at positions 66 to 637 of the family's 3401-position model. The record is from RNAcentral. Lineage: Eukaryota; Fungi; Ascomycota; Pichiomycetes; Serinales; Debaryomycetaceae.